Ameiurus melas (black bullhead) is the source of this 72-nucleotide non-coding RNA. Lineage: Eukaryota; Metazoa; Chordata; Actinopteri; Siluriformes; Ictaluridae. The record is from the annotation of a GenBank genome assembly.
UCCCUGGUGGACUAGUGGCUAGUAUGCAGCGCUCUUACCACGACAGCCUGGGUUUGAUUCCUGGUCAGGGAA